Molecule: long non-coding RNA, 1606 nt
Organism: Brassica napus (rape)
Lineage: Eukaryota; Viridiplantae; Streptophyta; Magnoliopsida; Brassicales; Brassicaceae
Exons: 2
Source: RefSeq, a predicted model, not a curated record
UGUAAAACUAUAUUUUAUGCCACGUGUCAUCUUUCGGGAGAAGUUUUUUUGCUGAUGUGGACGCUUUAUGGAGCCUCAAAAGGUCUCUUUUAUUAGUAAGGAUUGAAAAGGAAAUUACUUAACAAUAAAAAAGGAACGUUUUGACAGAUUUGGUUCGCAAGUAAUGGAAGGUGUAGCAAAACAACAUCAAGUCAUCAUGACUAUCAUAAACGCUGGCUUUGACCUAUGCUCUCAAGGAGUUCUUCAUCACCACCGUGAACACCAACUUUCUGGUGAAAUCAACUUGUCUCUCCGUUGGGUCUGUGCUCUACUCAAACUCUUGAACCAUCCUCGCCAUCAUUAGCUCCACGUGUAUUAUCGCCAUCCUAAGCCUCGGGCAGAUCCGACGGUAGAUUCGAACGGCAUCAUCUUCACUCCUGCUACGGCGGUUAAAUCUGCCUCUUCUUCACCUAUUAUAAACUGGUCCGCGUUGAAUUUAUCCGGAUUGGACCAGGUAUUCGGGUCUUCACUCAUACUGGGAAGAUAUAACUCCACGUUGGCUCCAAUUCCCGGGAAUGUCGUAGCCGGAAAGAGUCGUCGGCUCUGUAACGCCGUGAGUUAACGUGAAGUACGUCGGUGGAUCUCUACGGGCCACGUUCCUUGGAAAAAUGUAAAAGCCCACACAAAACAAAAGUCGAAGCCCUUACCCCUUUUAAUGAAACACAGAGUUUGGCAAUAGAGUGGACAGGUGUCGCGCUCUGGUGAGAUGACUUUCUGACCUGGAUCCUAGGUGGCAGCACAGGAGGGAGGCAAACAUUUUUAUAUAUAUAUAGAUUAUGAAAACGAAGAGAUAGAACUAAAUAAAGUAUAUAUUAUGAAAACGAAAAGAUAUAAUUAAAUAAAGUAUAUCACUAUCGAAUCUUUGAUUAUAUAAAGUUUAUACACGGGAGAAUAAAAGUAAUCACCGUUAUAUAUUAAACUAAUAAUUGAAAAAUAGAGUCCCCACCAGAUCAAAAUAUUCCACACUUCUUUCUUCUUCCUCGUCUCUUUCUUCUUGGUCAAAAGUUUUCUUGGAUCGGGCCAUGGAAAAGUCUAUUGCAGUGACGAUCUCGGUGAAAGCUCCGGUUGAUCCAAAGCCGGAGAAAGAAGAAGAAGAUGGGUUCACAACUCCAACAGGGCCGCAAUUUAAAAUUCCGCCGUCGGUUAAGUGUCCUCCGGCUCCGAGGCGCGACAGCAUCCAGCGGAAGACGAUCGACAAACGGCGGAAAAAAUCUACGGGACGGAGGCUUACUUCGGUCAAAGCUCAAGACUUGAACGCUGUCUUCACAAGAACACAGACAUAGUUGCAUAAAGAGUAAAGACUCUUGAGUCUUUUUUCUUAGUGCGUACGUUAAUGACUUGUUAACCGAAGAAAUAUCAGGGGUUUUAAUUUUAUUCUAAUUAUGUGUUUUUAGUUACAGGCUACAGCUUUAUCUUGACCUCUUUCUUUAUUGUAUAUUUUUGAUAUAAUUAGUCUUAUCUAUCAUCGUAUCAUAGAUGAUGAUGCAACUCAUUCAGUUUGUAAACUUCAUAUCCUUAAUUUUCAUCCUACAAAACAAUAAGAUUGAAGAAAACGUAUGUCUUUUGA